This 254-nucleotide ribosomal RNA is filed under the name uncultured bacterium. RNAcentral describes it as "partial 16S ribosomal RNA". It matches the Rfam family "Bacterial small subunit ribosomal RNA", at positions 524 to 776 of the family's 1533-position model. The record is from RNAcentral.
UACGGGGGGAGCAAGCGUUGUUCGGAUUUACUGGGCGUAAAGGGCGCGUAGGCGGUCGUGACAAGUCACUUGUGAAAUCUCCGGGCUUAACUCGGAACGGUCAAGUGAUACUGUCGGACUAGAGUACAGAAGGGGCAACUGGAAUUCUCGGUGUAGCGGUGAAAUGCGUAGAUAUCGAGAGGAACACCUGCGGCGAAGGCGGGUUGCUGGGCUGAUACUGACGCUGAGGCACGAAGGCCAGGGGAGCAAACGGG